This 476-nucleotide ribosomal RNA is filed under the name uncultured bacterium. RNAcentral describes it as "bacterial SSU rRNA". It matches the Rfam family "Bacterial small subunit ribosomal RNA", at positions 24 to 518 of the family's 1533-position model. The record is from RNAcentral.
UCAGGAUGAACGCUGGCGGCGUGCUUAACACAUGCAAGUCGAACGAGGUUAAGUUUCGGAUUUAAACCGAGUGGCGGACGGGUGAGUAACGCGUGGGUAACCUGCCGUAUGCAGGGGGACAACAGUUAGAAAUGACUGCUAAUACCGCAUAAGCUCACGGUAUCGCAUGAUACAGUGAGAAAAGAUUUAUCGGCAUACGAUGGACCCGCGUCCGAUUAGUUAGUUGGUGAGGUAACGGCCCACCAAGGCGACGAUCGGUAGCCGACCUGAGAGGGUGACCGGCCACAUUGGGACUGAGACACGGCCCAAACUCCUACGGGAGGCAGCAGUGGGGAAUAUUGCACAAUGGGCGCAAGCCUGAUGCAAGCGACGCCGCGUGAGUGAUGAAGUAUUUCGGUACGUAAAGCUCUAUCAGCAGGGAAGAUAAUGACGGUACCUGACUAAGAAGCCCCGGCUAACUACGUGCCAGCAGCCGC